AACGAACGCUGGCGGCGUGCCUAACACAUGCAAGUCGAGCGCGAAUGGAGCAAUCCUAGUAGCGCGGCGCACGGGUGCGUAACACGUGGGUAAUCUGCCUGGGAGACCGGGAUAACCUGCCGAAAGGCUGGCUAAUACCGGAUAAGCCCACGGACUCUUCGGAGUCUGAGGGAAAAGGUGGCCUCUGUAUACAAGCUAUCACUUCUAGAUGAGCCCGCGGCCCAUCAGCUAGUUGGCGGGGUAAAGGCCCACCAAGGCAACGACGGGUAGCUGGUCUGAGAGGACGAUCAGCCACACUGGAACUGAGACACGGUCCAGACUCCUACGGGAGGCAGCAGUGGGGAAUUUUGCACAAUGGGCGAAAGCCCUGAUGCAGCAACGCCGCGUGUGUGAUGAAGGUCUUCGGAUCGUAAAGCACUUUCG
Molecule: ribosomal RNA, 423 nt
Filed under: uncultured bacterium
Lineage: Bacteria
Description: bacterial SSU rRNA
Rfam family: Bacterial small subunit ribosomal RNA
Source: RNAcentral